GAAAAUUAGAUUCUUGUUACACUUAGUUUGAAAUACACUUAGUGUUUUCUCACAAAAUUUAAUUUCAUGAACUACAUCUCUAAACAUUUAAUAUUUAGUAAUGGUAACUAUUCCUUGCUUAGGAGCAGAUGGUACAUGCAGUAGGCCCACAUGGUCAGAAGAGGGUCCAUCUGUAUUAGCAGGCUAGUUCACAUCUCGACUACACACUCUUAGAACUCCUGGUUCCUGAAUUUCCAGAGCACUCUGUGAACCCCACUUUGAUUCUUGUGUCAGAGAAGCCUCAGCACAGACACUGGACUCUCUGUGGACGACACUAAAUUGAAUGAUACACUCCACCUGUGCACUCAAUGUGUUCCAGCUGUGCAUCUAAUGUCUUCCAGCUGUGCCCCUGAUAUAUUCCAGCCUGAGUUAGAUACAGAGCAACACUAUGCAGACACAUAGAGUUCGGGUCUUGAGUUAUCUUUGGCUCUCCAAAUGAUAUAGCCAGAAUUGUGAAGCCAUUGCCAUGUAGGGAAGGUUUUCUAGGAAAACCAGCAGGAAUUCUAGGAAGAUCUGGCUUCCAGGGCAAGCUUAAAGAGCUACUGUAUCACAGUCUUCAGUAAAAGAGAAAAAUAUCCUGUGAGUGUAUUGAGUACCUUGGCAGAUAUGAAGGUGGGUUUAAGGGACACUUUAUAUGCCACUAAGAGUUGUUCAGUUUCUGGUCCUUGAACUCCUUUUGAAUUCUUAGGCUAAUUUCAUUGUGGUAACCAGUGGGAAUAAUGCUCCUGAGGAACAACAGAGUCACCAGUUUUCAAGACAAGAUUCUCAAACCUGUCAGCAAGGUAAAAAGGAGCAUUGCUCAGAAAAUAGAGAAGACAUUGACUGGGAAAGAUCCCUUUGCAGAAAUAAAUUCUCUCAGGGCAUGAGAUGGAAAAGUUGAAAUAUAAAGAAGACCAGAUCCGGAGAAGAAUCUUUCUAAGUGCAAAGUAGAAGAAAAAUAUGAAACACAACUAUUCUCUCCUGUUAAAAAAUAUAACUGUUUGAAAAACUG
Long non-coding RNA from Pseudopipra pipra, 1030 nucleotides. RefSeq lists it as uncharacterized. The record is from RefSeq and is a predicted model, not a curated record. Lineage: Eukaryota; Metazoa; Chordata; Aves; Passeriformes; Pipridae. The transcript has 5 exons.